RNAcentral lists this long non-coding RNA (214 nucleotides) under Elaeis guineensis (African oil palm). Its description in RNAcentral is "long non-coding RNA (EGUI_LNC032641)". Lineage: Eukaryota; Viridiplantae; Streptophyta; Magnoliopsida; Arecales; Arecaceae. The record is from RNAcentral.
AUAGAUGACGGCGUCGAUGGCCAAGAAAGGCUCGCUCAAAAUAGGAAAAAAUAGAGGCUAUUUUGUUUAAAUACAAAUCCGACAACCACUAGCUCCAAUCGAACGUCAACGAUCAAAAAACAACCACAAGAAGGAAAAGAGAGAAGGGAAAAAGGAGCUUAUUUGGCUUCAAUGGCCAGAGGGUUUCCGGCGACCUUCUUCCCAACAGCAACCU